GACGAACGCUGGCGGCGUGCCUAAUACAUGCAAGUAGAACGCUGAAGAGAGGAGCUUGCUCUUCUUGGAUGAGUUGCGAACGGGUGAGUAACGCGUAGGUAACCUGCCUUGUAGCGGGGGAUAACUAUUGGAAACGAUAGCUAAUACCGCAUAACAAUGGAUGACACAUGUCAUUUAUUUGAAAGGGGCAAUUGCUCCACUACAAGAUGGACCUGCGUUGUAUUAGCUAGUAGGUGAGGUAAUGGCUCACCUAGGCGACGAUACAUAGCCGACCUGAGAGGGUGAUCGGCCACACUGGGACUGAGACACGGCCCAGACUCCUACGGGAGGCAGCAGUAGGGAAUCUUCGGCAAUGGGGGCAACCCUGACCGAGCAACGCCGCGUGAGUGAAGAAGGUUUUCGGAUCGUAAAGCUCUGUUGUAAGUCAAGAACGGGUGUGAGAGUGGAAAGUUCACACAGUGACGGUAGCUUACCAGAAAGGGACGGCUAACUACGUG
Molecule: ribosomal RNA, 497 nt
Filed under: uncultured bacterium
Lineage: Bacteria
Description: partial 16S ribosomal RNA
Rfam family: Bacterial small subunit ribosomal RNA
Source: RNAcentral